ACUCGGUCUUCGCUGAUUUCGAGUCUUGUAAAUUUUAAAUAUUUUUAAUUAAUAUGAAACGUUAUAUUUUUAGAUUUUUAUUAAUUAAGGCAUCAAAAUGAAAAUCAAAUCGAUGAAAAUGGGGAAGAAUUAAAUCCACGAUUUCCUCUAUAUAUACGAUGGACGUUGGUCGUUCCUUAUACAACUUUGUAGUAUUAGACUAUAGCAAUCUUUUGGCAAAAGUUCGGAAUAAUACAAUUGUGUCGUGCUUGUCUAAAUAUAUUAAUAUCUGGUAUUAUUGAAAGUGGUAUUCUAAUUAAAGUUCAUAGUUGCCAAAUUAAACAUAAAAAAUCAAGUCAGUGAAGCAAACAAUACUGCAUUUUUCACACAAAAAUACACUCUUUCCAUUACACAAACAUAUUUUUUUUUCAUUUCUUUAUACAUAUUAAAACCUAUUAAAUUUAUAUCGUAAAUGCAUAUUUUUCAUGAUUAUCAAUUUUAAUAUAAAAGUAAUAGUAAUCCAAUAAACUUAAUUAAUUUUUAAGAAUUUAUUAUUAUCAAAUAACAUAAAAAUUAUGUAUUUGUGAAACAAAAAUUUCCCAAAAAUUUGUUUUAUUUUUGUGGAACGGAGUAAGUAUGAGUUUUAUAUGUUUUACUUCGAAAAAUGCUCUAGUAUAAUUUUGUUUUGAACAUUAAUGCUCUGGUAUAAUUUGCUAGGGUUAUAAACCUUUGUUCUAAAAUCUAAAAUCCAUGUACUUCGCCUAAAAACAUAUGAAUUGUAUUUAUUUUCUUUCGAUCGUUGGAGGUAAUAAAAGUGGAUGAAGUAACACGUAUCAACGUUGGUAUGUACAACCGUUUUGGAAUAUUUUGUAAAACACCGAAAUGACACUUCAACCAUCACAGAAGGCAACACUAUUCCAUCAUUUUUUCUUUGCAGUUAUUGGUUUAGUGAUUGGUUUCAAUGAUAUUUACUUAGUUCAAUGGCUAUAAAAUAAAAUAUUCAACAAGUAGCGACCAGCGAGUGAUGUCCACCUUAUGUGUUAUUACACCCAAUUGAAUUUCUUAAGAACUUUUGGAAAUCUAAGUUAUUUUAAAACAAGAUAAUAUAUGCACUCUCUAAAAUUAUAAAAUAUGCGUUGAAAGAAAUAAUUUAUGCCAAAAUAUAUGUGUAGGAAAUAUCUGAUAGCUCAAAAAUAUAAAAUUAAAUUGACACUUGACAAUGAAGCUUUUGACAUACAAAGCAAAAAAUAUAGUACUCCCACUGUUCCUAAAAAUAAGAUUUUAUAAAGUGUUCAGGUUUAUUAAGAAUUCAAUAAAUGUUUAUAAUUUAUUUAUUUUUUACUUUAUUAUACACUUUCCAAUAAUUUUUCACCAAUGAAAUUUAAUCAAUUCAAAUAUUUUCAUUUAAUGUUUUUUAAAAGUAUAAAAAAUACCUUAAACGUAUAGAAAAUCUAUCUUUGUGGAACAAGUAAAAAAUUUAAAACAUCUUACUUUCGGGAAUGGAAAGAGUAUCACCGAGCGCUUGAUGUACACUAUUCAUAUAAAAGUUACCGAGAAUCGUUUCUUAAUAUGCAAGAAGAGUUGAAAGUAAGAAAAGAUCAAUAUCUAUAUCUAUAUAUAUAUAAUAAUGUCUGCCUCUCUCCUGGGCUGCCACCUAGGAUCCAGGUCAAAAAGUCGUUCAACCUGCUGCUGACACGUGUCAAAUUUUUAAACCCAACGAGUUUCGUUUCUGAUCAUUUUUUAUUUGGGCUCGACAUAUGCUCUAAGUGUUAUUUGUUACGGGCCUGUUUUGAAAUCAAAUGAAGCCCAUAUGUAGAGUCAAGAGUUAAAUACUUUUCUAGACUCGGCCCCUAACCAUCGUCGAGGUUAACUCGGCCCCUAACCAUCGUCGAAGUUCUUCAUCUCUUCAUUUCACCGGCGACCAAAACCUUCGAACGUUACGGAAUCAGUCUGGAUUGAAGCGUCAUCUUUAAAGCGCUCUCAGUAACAAUAACAUCUCCAAUGACUUCCUCCCUCUGGAUCUUCAACUAUAAAAAGGAAAGAACUUUGGAGUGGAGAUUUGACAAGAGAAUUGAGUGGCAACACGACAGAGAGUCAAGAUACAGAUGUUAACUAAACUGAAUGUGAUUUUUAUGUUCAUACUUCUUUGAAUUUAGUUUAUGUUCAUUUAAUGUUUUCUUCUGAUUUAGAUUCCCAGGCUGGAAAAAUGGAUCUGAGAGCGAGUGGAUCCACAUGGAGAUCAAAAUCCAAAUCAGAAGCCAAGGAUUCUUAUGAAUAAAGAUAAGAAGAGAUGCGAGAGACGUGACCAACAGUUUCUCCAACAAAAGCCAAAGAUAUCAAAUAAUUACGCGGAGGAGGACAUGUCCAUGAAGCUACAUUAGAGAAGAUAUGUGGAAAAAUAUCAAGGAAAUAAAAUUACAAGAAGCGAAACUAAAGGCUGGCCAGUAGAAGAAAUCCCACUCUAAACAGGUUGGAACAAAAAAAAACAUCAAGGUUAGAGUUUUCAUCAAGAGCAUCUAUAAAAUGUGGAGUUAGAGCUAUUUCUGACGGAGAGCUCGAACUUUUGAUGGAAGCAGUAGAUGGAGGAAUGAGAACGUAAGGCUUUGCAGUAGUGAAAUAACUGACUCGAUCCUCAAAAGGAUUUUAGAGAUGCAGUGGUUGAGAUGAUCAUGGAAUAUGGUAUCAACCACCCAGAAGAACUCAAGCAGGUUCACAGAUGUUAUACCAGUAAAAAAAAACAUGAUCCAGCGAAAGUUUAUUAUUAUCAAAAGAACAUUUUAGGAUCAUCAUCAGCUUACGUUCAAAUCAUGGAUAUUGGUUAAAGUAGUGUAAAGCUUAUAUGAUUUUUUCCCAACAUCAGUAAAAUUAAUUAAAUAACUUGAUUGUA
Long non-coding RNA from Brassica napus (rape), 2866 nucleotides. RefSeq lists it as uncharacterized. The record is from RefSeq and is a predicted model, not a curated record. The transcript has 2 exons. Lineage: Eukaryota; Viridiplantae; Streptophyta; Magnoliopsida; Brassicales; Brassicaceae.